This 253-nucleotide ribosomal RNA is filed under the name uncultured bacterium. RNAcentral describes it as "partial 16S ribosomal RNA". It matches the Rfam family "Bacterial small subunit ribosomal RNA", at positions 524 to 776 of the family's 1533-position model. The record is from RNAcentral.
GACAGAGGAUGCAAGCGUUAUCCGGAUUCACUGGGUUUAAAGGGUGCGUAGGUGGGCAAGUAAGUCAGUGGUGAAAUCUCCGGGCUUAACCCGGAAACUGCCAUUGAUACUAUUUGUCUUGAAUACUGUGGAGGUCAGCGGAAUAUGUCAUGUAGCGGUGAAAUGCUUAGAUAUGACAUAGAACACCAAUUGCGAAGGCAGCUGGCUACACAAAUAUUGACACUGAGGCACGAAAGCGUGGGGAUCAAACAGG